Gymnothorax javanicus (giant moray) is the source of this 73-nucleotide non-coding RNA. The record is from the annotation of a GenBank genome assembly. Lineage: Eukaryota; Metazoa; Chordata; Actinopteri; Anguilliformes; Muraenidae.
GCAGUUGUGGUGCAGCAGGUAGCACUGCUGCUUCAUAGCAAGAAGGUUGCGGGUUCAAAUCCAGCCUGCGGCC